CCUACGGAGGCCGCAGUGGGGAAUAUUUCGCAAUGGGGGAAAACCUGAUGCAACCAAGCCGCGUGAGGGAGGAAGUAUUUCGGUAUGUUAAGCUCUAUUAGCAGGGAAUAGAAAAGAAGGUAACUGAAAAAGAAGCCCCGGCUAAAUCCGUGACCGUACCCGCGGUAAUACGUAGGGGUCAAGCGUUAUCAGGAUUUACUUGGUGGAAAGGGAGCGUAGACGGCAAGGCAAGUAAGAAGUGAAAUCCCAAGGCUCAACCAGGGGACUGCUUUUGAAACUGUCAAACUAGCUUACGGGAGAGGUAAGUGGAAUUCCUAGUGUAGCAGUGAAAUGCUUAGAUAUUUGGAGGAACACCAGUGGCGAAGGCGUCUUACUGUACCGAAACUGACGUUGAGGCUCGAAAGCGUGGGGAGCAAACAGGAUUAGAUACCCUUGUAGUC
Molecule: ribosomal RNA, 440 nt
Filed under: uncultured bacterium
Lineage: Bacteria
Description: partial 16S ribosomal RNA
Rfam family: Bacterial small subunit ribosomal RNA
Source: RNAcentral